This 2120-nucleotide long non-coding RNA is filed under the name Marmota monax (woodchuck). Lineage: Eukaryota; Metazoa; Chordata; Mammalia; Rodentia; Sciuridae. The record is from RNAcentral.
AGGAAUGUUUUCCUGCGGACUCUAUCGAGGCGCACAGACCAUGGGGAUUCUGUCUGCAGUGACAGCCGUAACAUUUGCCAGAGCCCCGGACGGCUGCAGAAAUGGCAUUGCCCACCCUGCAAGUGAGAAGGUAACGUUUAUUUUUGUAUUUUUUUCUCUCUCUCCCAUAUACAGACUGUAGAAAGACCACCAAGUGCGGAUCAUUUUUUUUCUCCCAACCAUGAUGUACAAUUCACAUUUGUUAAUCAAAAAAGAGUGCCCGAGGUCAUCCACCUAGGUUUUUUUUUUUUUUUCUUAAACAGGAAACGGGUUUCAGAUGUUUAUAUGUUAAAAAGUAAGGCUACUAAUCUGUUUAGCCGUUUACCAGGGCCUGGCUAACCCACGCUUACCUUUCAGUGCUCAGACCUCAGAGAAGGACAUUAAGUUUUAUUCUAUUCUUAGUUAGAAUUAAAAAAAAAAAUCUUAGAAUCAUCACCUGCUUCUUUUGGUUAAGCUCCCGUGGCGGUUAAAAUAAAUUAAUCCAGCCGUUGCGUGUGAAGGCACUGCUGUCCCCGCAGUUUGCAGCAGGGCCCAGUGGGCCCCACGGUACUUUGGUACUUUGGUGCGUCUGUACCCACAAGCAGACCUGCUGGGCCGUCCCAUUUAAACUAAGAAAAGAGGUGCACAUGCGUGCACUGUUGAUAAGGCUGCAGCAAAGGCAAGAACUCGUUUAAACACAGUUUUUAUCAGAUCAGCUGGAUGCUUUCCGUGGAGCUUCUAAAUAUCAAGUCGGCACAAGGUGACAGAGCUACUGCUUCCCGGGAGUCCCAGCCCUUGGGAGGGCUUCAUCUGAUGCUUGGAAAUAAAAAUCUUUGUUUUAUAGUGGGGAUUUUUUUCCCUUGCCCCCGGGCCAUCACCGCCGGUUCCCAUUUAGCACGGCAAAUCCAUGAUACUUGUGUGUGUAUAUUUAUAGUGUAUUUAUAGUCCAAGGAUAAAGGAGUACCAGCCAGGGAGAUUUUAAUGCUUUUAUAGUGAAUUUGUUAGCAUUAAAAUUGUUGGCUUAAAAGACUCCUUUAAACACAGAAUUCAAUGCAAAGCAAUCAUAUCAUUUGCUUAAACGCGAUCGAAAUAGCCUCUGCGUUCUAACCCGCUGGUGUUUCACCAAAUGCUUUUUGUCUGUGAAUUUUGCAAGGGACACAGAAGACCAUCUUUGGAAAUUUUUCAUCAAGGAAAGAGAGCCAGGCACAACAAAUGAGCUCUUAAAAUCAGCCCAGUAUUAUUGGGAUCAGCAAAAAAAAAUGUCAUUUGUAAAAAUGAAAACAUGGAUGAGACUCCCAAACAUAUGUGUAGUUCAAUGAGGCAAAAAUACAUUUAUUUGCUCUUUCAUCAGAGGGUCAGAAGUGGCUGGAGAAAGAUCGGUACAAGAGUGAAAAUGGAUCUGCAGUAGUGUCCAAACUCCUCCGCACGAGGAGGAAGGGGAAGGGGAAAACAGAUUUUGAAAUAUGUUUUUUGGGGGCUGGGGAUGUGGCUCAAGCGGUAGCACGCUCGUCUGGCAUGCGUGUGGCCUGGGUUCGAUCCUCAGCACCACAUACCAACAAAGAUGUUGUGUCUGCCAAUAACUAACUAAAUAAAUAAAUAUGUUUAAAAAAAGAAAUAUGUUUUUUGGUUUUUUUUUUUCUGAAUAGACUAUUUUUUAUUUCUUGGGGCAUGCUUUAAGCUGGGGGUGGGAUUCCGAGGGCCGCCUCUCCUACCUCAGGUGUCAGAGACUCCCAGAAAAAGAAGAGUGACCAAAACUUCAGAAGAGCAAAGUGAUGGGAAGUGGCCCCUCCAGUGGGAGCCCCCAGAGCUCCUUCACGCGGAGGCCGCUGGCUGGACAGGGCAAGCCCUGGGGCAGCACAGCGGGGAGGCGGGCUCUGCCUCUACCCCAGGCGAAGUGGGUCCAAGACACUGACUGGGUGGGAACAGCCAUGACAUCAGUGGUCGCCGAUGUCCCCCGGGCUGGUGCUGGGGGCCUGGCUGGAGCGCCUGCUGGAUCUGCCUGUCCCCCAAGGGGAAUCUCAGAAAGGAACCUGCUUUGGGCUUUUUUAAUCUUUCUGACCCCCAGAACAUUAAUAAAUAGAAAAAUGCCGCGAUCUACAACU